This 1281-nucleotide long non-coding RNA is filed under the name Felis catus (domestic cat). RNAcentral describes it as "lncRNA (ENSFCAG00000050273.1)". Lineage: Eukaryota; Metazoa; Chordata; Mammalia; Carnivora; Felidae. The record is from RNAcentral.
ACACAGAAGAGCCUCUGUCUUUCCGAGGGAAUCAGUUUGGGUCCAGCUGAGGGAGCCUACGGGAUGCCAAAGGGCAGGCAGCCUCCCCCCUGGCUGCAGGGAGUAGAGGCCCAGGGCGUCCAAACUGCCCGGACAGUGGUCAUCUUAAGGGAGCGCUGAGGAAGGUGGAUACAGGCUCUAAGGCUGGUGUUGGGACAAUCCUGUCUGACAUCCAUGUUCCUUCCCAUGGGAAGCAGUGAGAGGGGCAACAUUUCUGUCUCUAGACAAGGUGCAGAGUGUUACAGGUUGACUUGUGUCCCUCAGCCCCCACCACAAUUCAGACAUGGAAGUCCUACUCCCGGUACCCUGGCGUGAGGCCUUAUUAGGAAAUAGGGUUAUUGCUGAUGUCAUUAGUUGAGAUGAGGUAUUAGGGUGGGCCCUCGUCCCAAACAACAGGUGUUUUUAUAAGAAGAGGAAAUUGGGACACGGACACGCAGACAGGGGACACCAUGUGAAGACAGAGGCAGAGAUGGAGUUGCUGCUUUUACAAGCCAAGGAGCCCCAACAUUGCCAGGGAGCCCCCAAGAAGCUAGGGCAGAGGCCAGAACAGAUUCUGCCUCAUAGUCCUCACGGGGAGCUCGCCCUGCCGACACUUUGAUCUCAGACUUCUAGCCUCCAGAACUGUGAGACAAGGAAGUUUUGUUGUUGGACUAGCAAAGCGAUCCAGUGUGUUACACUGCUCAGCCCCGAGGGGCCUUGCACAACCUCUCCUCUCCGUGGGGAGCAGCUCCCGCGAGAGUUCUGGCUCCCUUACUGAUGCCAAGGGUGCAAGCCCACGGUCUCCCUGCUGCGCCCUGUCCACAGAGGCAGAAGCUGUGCUGAGGAAAAGAACACUGUUCAGAACACCUCAGGAAACAGGCCGCUCACCUCUCCUGCACUAGACCUAUGGGUAGAGUGUCUGGGGAUACCUGGGCCUGCUGGUGGGUUCUCUGCCCCGGAAAAUCAAAAAGGAGGUGCGGAGAAAAGGAGUCCUUUCACAGAAAAUCAAACCAACUGAUCAAAUAUUUAAGUUGCCUGAGUUGGAUCAUCCAACACACCACGGAGGAAGGAAAGAAAGAGACAGCGAAGGCUCUGCCCCCGGGAGUCUCAUAGCCCUGUCAGAGGAGCUAGGACUGUAUGUGCACGUGGCUUUUGGAGAACAGGAAGACGAAGGAGCAGUGAGAUCUGUAAAGAAACCCCUGGAGAAAAUAAGCAAUUUUAAGUCAAUUGGACCCUGGAGGGAGUGAUUUAGGUUAGAGGAGG